UAAGAUUUUUAUUCUGCUUGGUACCUUGGC
RNAcentral lists this non-coding RNA (30 nucleotides) under Mus musculus (house mouse). The record is from RNAcentral. Lineage: Eukaryota; Metazoa; Chordata; Mammalia; Rodentia; Muridae.